Molecule: RNA transcript, 755 nt
Organism: Beta vulgaris subsp. vulgaris (sugar beet)
Lineage: Eukaryota; Viridiplantae; Streptophyta; Magnoliopsida; Caryophyllales; Amaranthaceae
Exons: 4
Source: RefSeq, a predicted model, not a curated record
UAAUUCAGUCCGAAAGAACGAGAAAAUAAAUACUAUCAAUAAAGAAAAAGAAAAAUGUAUACUUCUUUCCCGCCAUUCAUCUGCUUCUUCUGCAACCCCCAAAUUCUCAGCCAAUUACACUCCCAGAUAACUUCCGCAGCUAUCUACACCUAUGAACAUGGUUCAGGCUUCAGCUGUUCCACAUUCAGUGAUCAGUUGUUUGGUCAUCAAUGUUAUGUGCUUACGUAGAGUCGUAGACAAUGAGUGGCCUUCAAGUAUUCAAUUUCAGGAAAGUUCUUCUCAACGGUAAACCUUGUCGAUCUCUAUGAAACAAACCAUCAGCCGGAGAAGAUCAAGACGUACUGCAAGGAGAUUUCUUUGUUUGAUCCAAGUUUUUGGAUCUCAGAUACUUCGUCACCGAUUCCUCCUAUACCACUCAUGAGAUCGUUCCCUUAAGGUUGAUGAUAUAUCAAAUAUUAAAAGAAGUGGGAUAAAGCUGAACGUGAAACAAGAGAUUUUAAGUCGUUACUUACACUGCAAAAGUGGUGAAAAACAGAGUAUAUAGCAUGACCUACCUCCAUUAUUGAUAUCGCAAAUUUAUUAGUGAACUAUACUACAUUUUGUAAUUUAGUGUACUCCAUAAUUGUAACUUAUCAUUAUAAAGAGUCCACCAAAGCACACUAUAUUUUAAGUUUAUUCCACGGUUGUGAUUGGAUAUUACCUUAGCUUGGCCCAAUAUUGGCUUUUUUGGGGGGCCUUGCAUUGAAAUCAGGGAU